GUCAUAAUAUUCCUAUGGACCUAAAAGACCUCCAAAAGGGCUUCUUAGACCCUCAAAAAGGGCUUAGCGCCCUUGAAGAGAGCCCAAAAGCCCAAGGCGCAGAAGCCGCCUUUCUAACCUUCUAGAAACCGCCCAAAAGGCCUAAAUACCCCUAUUACUUGGAGACUAAGCAACCAAAACCCAAGCCCAUAGAAGGCUAUAAAUACCACCCUUGAGAACACUCUCAAGUAUCCAAUAUUCAGUCUAAACCCUAAUAGACGAUUCUUAACCCUAGAAUCCUUUAUUGUACU
RNAcentral lists this long non-coding RNA (290 nucleotides) under Medicago truncatula (barrel medic). RNAcentral's name for it is "long non-coding RNA (MTRU_LNC000574)". Lineage: Eukaryota; Viridiplantae; Streptophyta; Magnoliopsida; Fabales; Fabaceae. The record is from RNAcentral.